Long non-coding RNA from Cygnus olor (mute swan), 1609 nucleotides. RefSeq lists it as uncharacterized. Lineage: Eukaryota; Metazoa; Chordata; Aves; Anseriformes; Anatidae. The transcript has 2 exons. The record is from RefSeq and is a predicted model, not a curated record.
AGAUACCUGAUAGAACGAGAGGGGAGAAGAGAAGAGGGUGAAAUGGCAUAGGUUUUCAAAUCUUACACAAAAAUACCCCAUCGCUGCAGAGUAGUACAUUCAGACCUAAAUUCUUGAAGACAGCUACUUAUAUUAUGGCCAAUUAAAACCCGCUGACUCUAAAACCUUACUCACAAACAUAUGGCAAGCCGGCACUCUUGCCAGACUACCUUUUGACAACAAAAACAGAGCUUCCACCCAACAGAGCAAGUCUCUAGUUAUGAGUCUCUAUCUCUCUGUCAAAGAGCCAGGUUUCUGGCAGCAUUUAAGCUAGGCUCUGAACCAGAAAGGGGUUCUUCACAUUUUGGGCAUUACUUUUCUUUCUUGAGAACCAGCUCAGAAAGGACAACGGAGGGUUUCUAGUAGCAUCUAACAUUUGAUAAACCCUGUUCCAUCUUUGCUAGAAACAGUUGUCCACGAUACAUCCUUUUUUGCUUAGGUAUUUAAGUUUUAACAAUGACGACUUCCUUCCUCUGAGACUAAAUGACACAUCUGCCCAUCUCAGAGCUCUUCAGCUGCAAUUCUGAAGGACCAUGAUAAGGUCUCUCAAAGUUCUGGAAAGCUCCUCAACGUCAAACAACCUCGGAACUUAAGAAAAAAAAGAAACUCUAACAUACAUUUACAUAGUACCAACUUCUCCUAUUAGACAAAGCUGAAAAAUCUUUGGAGGAAAUUCAUCAGCACAGUCAAGUAAACACUACUUCCAGUGGAGACAGAGUGAUUUUACAGAUUCUGCAAGACCUGAGUCAGCAUGUUUCUUUUUGGCCUUGAACCCUAUGAGCCAUUUGUUUCUGUAAAAAUUUUCCAUUCAAACAUGUCUGUUAUUAUAAGCAUGCAAGUACGGUUACUCUUUCUGCAACACAACCCCAUGAAAACGGCUAAGCCAAGAAGUUAGUAAUAAAUGGAUGGUUUAAUUUAAUCAGCUGCAUCAGACAUUUCUGUAAGCAGUGGUGCCCUGUCGCUUGAACAAGAGAAUUUUGAAGGCAGCAAGAUGACUGACAGAAGAGCCUUAAGAAAUAUCUGACCAAGCAUCAAGUGGACUAUUAAAAAAAGCAAACAAACAAACAACAAAUUUCUGCACACAUUAUUCCAGCUCAGAAGAAUGGCAAAUACCUUUGGCCCUCAGAUGCACUGUCUCCUCCUCCACUCUUUGCCCACAAAAUGGGCAGGCAAGCAAUGCAGUAGGAAAGGUUACUGCUAAGCAGUUGGCAAGCCCAGCCACUAGCUGUCAGGCAGCUGGACGAGAACCGGGCUGCUGUAUUUCAUUUCCUCAUCCAGGCUGAACCAACAACACUCACAGGGUGACCUUGAAGUUUAUCUAACCCCUUCCACCCUGUCAAUCUUAGCUACAAAAUGAAACAAGGUCUACGUUUAAAGCUGGAAUAUCUCUGUCUUGAUAUACUAACAUGUAAAAUGCUACAUUUAUACUCCAAUAUGCCUGCUAUAGGGGAAUCAAGAUAGAAAUCAGUCCGUUAGGCCUGUGGAAACCAACCUUGAACAAAAAUGAAGAAAAACUAUGCCAUGGACUAUAGGGGUGGGAAAGAGCACAAACUCCUCUGCCAACGACUUG